UAGGGAAUCUUCCACAAUGGACGCAAGUCUGAUGGAGCAACGCCGCGUGAGUGAAGAAGGUCUUCGGAUCGUAAAGCUCUGUUGUUGGUGAAGAAGGAUAGAGGCAGUAACUGGUCUUUAUUUGACGGUAAUCAACCAGAAAGUCACGGCUAACUACGUGCCAGCAGCCGCGGUAAUACGUAGGUGGCAAGCGUUGUCCGGAUUUAUUGGGCGUAAAGCGAGCGCAGGCGGAAUGAUAAGUCUGAUGUGAAAGCCCACGGCUCAACCGUGGAACUGCAUCGGAAACUGUCAUUCUUGAGUGCAGAAGAGGAGAGUGGAACUCCAUGUGUAGCGGUGGAAUGCGUAGAUAUAUGGAAGAACACCAGUGGCGAAGGCGGCUCUCUGGUCUGCAACUGACGCUGAGGCUCGAAAGCAUGGGUAGCGAACAGGAUUAGAUACCCUGGUAGUCCAUGCCGUAAACGAUGAGCGCUAGGUGUUGGGGACUUUCCGGUCCUCAGUGCCGCAGCAAACGCAUUAAGCGCUCCGCCUGGGAAGUACGACCGCAAGGUUGAAAC
Molecule: ribosomal RNA, 554 nt
Filed under: uncultured bacterium
Lineage: Bacteria
Description: partial 16S ribosomal RNA
Rfam family: Bacterial small subunit ribosomal RNA
Source: RNAcentral